AGAAAAAUAAGCUAAUAAAUAAGCUAUUGGGUUCAUACCUCAAAAAUGGAAAUUUAUCCUUUUUCUA
Molecule: transfer RNA, 67 nt
Filed under: Megacrania alpheus adan
Lineage: Eukaryota; Metazoa; Arthropoda; Insecta; Phasmatodea; Phasmatidae
Also listed under: 1 other name
Description: tRNA-Met
Source: RNAcentral